RNAcentral lists this ribosomal RNA (449 nucleotides) under uncultured bacterium. RNAcentral's name for it is "bacterial SSU rRNA". It matches the Rfam family "Bacterial small subunit ribosomal RNA", at positions 330 to 793 of the family's 1533-position model. The record is from RNAcentral.
CCCAGACUCCUACGGGAGGCAGCAGUGGGGAAUAUUGGACAAUGGGGGGAACCCUGAUCCAGCGACGCCGCGUGAGUGAAGAAGUAUUUCGGUAUGUAAAGCUCUAUCAGCAGGGAAGAAAGAAAUGACGGUACCUGACUAAGAAGCCCCGGCUAACUACGUGCCAGCAGCCGCGGUAAUACGUAGGGGGCAAGCGUUAUCCGGAUUUACUGGGUGUAAAGGGAGCGUAGACGGCGAUGCAAGUCUGAAGUGAAAGGCGGGGGCCCAACCCCCGGACUGCUUUGGAAACUGUUGAACUAGAUUGCAGGAGAGGUAAGGGGAAUUCCUAGGGUAGCGGUGAAAUGCGUAGAUAUUAGGAGGAACGCCAGUGGCGAAGGCGGCUUACUGGACUGUAAAUGACGCUGAGGCUCGAAAGCGUGGGGAGCAAACAGGAUUAGAUACCCCCGUAC